AAUCAACGCUGGCGGCGUGCCUAACACAUGCAAGUCGAGCGAGAAAAGGGGGGCAACUCCCUGAGUACAGCGGCGCACGGGUGAGUAACACGUGGGUAAUCUGCCCUGGAGUGGGGAAUAACACCGGGAAACCGGUGCUAAUACCGCAUACGAUAGCGAGGUCUGCGGACUUUGCUAUGAAAGGAGCAAUUCGCUCUAGGAGGAGCCCGCGGCUGAUUAGCUAGUUGGUGAGGUAAUGGCUCACCAAGGCUACGAUCAGUAUCCGGUCUGAGAGGACGGUCGGACACACUGGAACUGAGACACGGUCCAGACUCCUACGGGAGGCAGCAGUGGGGAAUUUUUGGCAAUGGGGGAAACCCUGACCAAGCAACGCCGCGUGGGUGAUGAAGUCUCUUGGGACGUAAAACCCUUUCGACGGGGAAGAAACCGCAAGGUUGACGGUACCCGUGGAAGAAGCCCCGGCUAACUCCGUGCCAGCAGCCGCGGUAAUACGGGGGGGGCAAGCGUUGUUCGGAAUUACUGGGCGUAAAAGGGCGCGUAGGCGGUUCGCUAAGUUGAAUGUGAAAACUCUGGGCUCAACCC
Molecule: ribosomal RNA, 582 nt
Filed under: uncultured soil bacterium
Lineage: Bacteria
Description: bacterial SSU rRNA
Rfam family: Bacterial small subunit ribosomal RNA
Source: RNAcentral